This 425-nucleotide ribosomal RNA is filed under the name uncultured bacterium. RNAcentral's name for it is "partial 16S ribosomal RNA". It matches the Rfam family "Bacterial small subunit ribosomal RNA", at positions 354 to 796 of the family's 1533-position model. The record is from RNAcentral.
GUGGGGAAUAUUGGACAAUGGGCGCAAGCCUGAUCCAGCAAUGCCGCGUGGGUGAAGAAGGUCUUCGGAUCGUAAAGCCCUUUCGACAGGGACGAUGAUGACGGUACCUGUAGAAGAAGCCCCGGCUAACUUCGUGCCAGCAGCCGCGGUAAUACGAAGGGGGCUAGAGUUACUCGGAAUUACUGGGCGUAAAGGGCGCGUAGGCGGCUCUGUUAGUCAGGCGUGAAAUUCCUGGGCUUAACCUGGGGACUGCGCUUGAUACUGCAGGGCUUGAGGCCGAGAGAGGGUGGUGGAAUUCCCAGUGUAGAGGUGAAAUUCGUAGAUAUUGGGAAGAACACCGGUGGCGAAGGCGACCACCUGGCUCGGUUCUGACGCUGAGGCGCGACAGCGUGGGGAGCAAACAGGAUUAGAAACCCUGGUAGUCC